RNAcentral lists this ribosomal RNA (497 nucleotides) under uncultured bacterium. Its description in RNAcentral is "partial 16S ribosomal RNA". It matches the Rfam family "Bacterial small subunit ribosomal RNA", at positions 28 to 507 of the family's 1533-position model. The record is from RNAcentral.
GAUGAACGCUGGCGGCGUGCCUAACACAUGCAAGUCGAGCGCACGGACGAGAAGCUUGCUUCUCUGAUGUUAGCGGCGGACGGGUGAGUAACACGUGGAUAACCUACCUAUAAGACUGGGAUAACUUCGGGAAAGCGGAGCUAAUACCAGGUAAUAUUUUGAACCGCAUGGUUCAAAUGUGAAUGACGGUCUUGCUGUCUCUUAUAGAUGGAUCCGCACUGUCUUUGCUAGUUCUUAAGGUAACGUCUUUCCCAGGCAACGAUGCAUAGCCGACCUGAGAGAGUGGUCGGCCACCCUGGAUGUGAGGACCGGUCGAGACUCCUACGAGAGGCAGCAGUAGGGAAUCUUCCGGUAUGGAGGAAAGCCGGAUAGUGGAAAACCGCGUGAGCGAUGAAGGUCUCAGGAUCGUAAAAAUCUGUUAUUAUGGAAGAACAAAAGUGUAAGUAGCUGUGCACAUCUUGACGGUACCUGAACAGAAAGCCACGGCUAACUACGUG